RNAcentral lists this ribosomal RNA (433 nucleotides) under uncultured bacterium. RNAcentral describes it as "partial 16S ribosomal RNA". It matches the Rfam family "Bacterial small subunit ribosomal RNA", at positions 29 to 507 of the family's 1533-position model. The record is from RNAcentral.
AACGAACGCUGGCGGCAGGCCUAACACAUGCAAGUCGAGCGCACCCUUCGGGGUGAGCGGCGGACGGGUGAGUAACGAGUGGGAACGUGCACUUCUCUGCGGAAUAGCCUCGGGUAACUGAGAGUAAUACCGCAUACGCCCUUAGGGGGAAAGAUUUCUCGGUGAAGGAUCGGCCCGCGUUGGUUUAGGUAGUUGGUGGGGUAGUGGCGCGCCAAGGCGACGAUCCAUAGCUGGUUUGAGAAGAUGCUCAGCCACACUGGAACUGAGACACGGCCCAGACUCCGACGGGGGGCAGCAGUGGGGAAUCUUAGGCAAUGGGGGCAACCCUGAUCUAGCCAUGCCGCGUGAGUGAUGAAGGGCUUAGGGUUGUAAAGCUCUUUCAGCUGGGAAGAGAAUGACGGUAACAGCAGAAGAAGCCCCGGCUAACUCCGUG